This 253-nucleotide ribosomal RNA is filed under the name uncultured bacterium. RNAcentral describes it as "partial 16S ribosomal RNA". It matches the Rfam family "Bacterial small subunit ribosomal RNA", at positions 524 to 776 of the family's 1533-position model. The record is from RNAcentral.
UACGUAGGGUGCGAGCGUUAAUCGGAAUUACUGGGCGUAAAGCGUGCGCAGGCGGUUGGUUAAGUCUGAUGUGAAAGCCCCGGGCUCAACCUGGGAAUGGCAUUGGAAACUGGCUAGCUGGAGUGUGGCAGAGGGGGGUGGAAUUCCGCGUGUAGCAGUGAAAUGCGUAGAGGUGCGGAGGAACACCGAUGGCGAAGGCAGCCCCCUGGGCCAACACUGACGCUCAGGCACGAAAGCGUGGGGAGCAAACAGG